This 312-nucleotide ribosomal RNA is filed under the name Gambierdiscus australes. RNAcentral's name for it is "partial Bacterial large subunit ribosomal RNA". It matches the Rfam family "Bacterial large subunit ribosomal RNA", at positions 194 to 505 of the family's 2925-position model. The record is from RNAcentral. Lineage: Eukaryota; Dinophyceae; Gonyaulacales; Pyrocystaceae.
UGAAACAUCUAAGUACCCGGAGGAGAAGAAAACAAAAGUGAUUUCGUUAGUAGUGGCGAGCGAACGCGAAAUAGCCCAAACCAAUAUUGUUACGGCAAUGUUGGGGUUGUAGGACUACGAUAUUUAAUGCACGAUGAACUAGAACACGUUGGAAAGCGUGGCCAUAGACGGUGAUAGCCCGGUAUAGGUAAAGACUGUUAUUAAUAGUAGUAUCCUGAGUAGUGCGGGGCACGUGAAACCCUGUAUGAAUUUGGCGGGACCAUCCGUUAAGGCUAAAUACUCCUGAGAGACCGAUAGUGAACCAGUACCGUG